Molecule: non-coding RNA, 119 nt
Organism: Pteropus alecto (black flying fox)
Lineage: Eukaryota; Metazoa; Chordata; Mammalia; Chiroptera; Pteropodidae
Source: Rfam
GUCUACGGCCACGCCACCCUAAACACACCCGAUCCCGUCUGAUCUCGGAAGCUAAGCAGGGUCGGGCCUGGUUAGUAUUUGGAUGGGAGACCACCUAGGAAGACCAGAUCCUGUAGGCA